RNAcentral lists this ribosomal RNA (465 nucleotides) under uncultured bacterium. Its description in RNAcentral is "partial 16S ribosomal RNA". It matches the Rfam family "Bacterial small subunit ribosomal RNA", at positions 28 to 507 of the family's 1533-position model. The record is from RNAcentral.
GACGAACGCUGGCGGCGUGCUUAACACAUGCAAGUCGAACGGAAAGGCCCCUUUGGGGGUACUCGAGUGGCGAACGGGUGCGUAACACGUGAGUAACCUGCCCUUGACUUCGGGAUAACUUCAGGAAACUGGGGCUAAUACCGGAUAGGAAUCCUUGCUGCAUGGUGGGGGUUGGAAAGCUUCGGCGGUUUUGGAUGGACUCGCGGCUUAUCAGCUUGUUGGUGGGGUAGUGGCUUACCAAGGCUUUGACGGGUAGCCGGCCUGAGAGGGCGACCGGCCACAUUGGGACUGAGAUACGGCCCAGACUCCUACGGGAGGCAGCAGUGGGGAAGAUUGCACAAUGGGCGGAAGCCUGAUGCAGCAACGCCGCGUGCGGGAUGACGGCCUUCGGGUUGGAAACCGCUUUCAGCAGGGGCGAAGCUUGUGGUGACGGUACCUGCAGAAGAAGCACCGGCUAACUACGUG